GAUGAAGAACGUAGCGAAAGUGCGAAACGUAAUGUGAAUUGCAGAAUUCAGUGAAUCAUCGAAACUUUGAACGCACCUUGCGCCCUUUGGCCAUUCCGAAGGGCAUGCCUGUUUGAGUAUCAUGAACACCUCAACGCUUCAUGGUUUUCCGUGAUGAGCUUGGACUUUGGGGGUCUUGCUGGCCUAUGGUCAGCUCCUCUAAAAUAAAUCAGCUUGCCAGUGUUUGGUGGGUAUCACAGGUGUGAUAACUAUCUACGCUUGUGGUUUUCCACCAGGUAACCUUCAGCAGUGGAGGUUCACUGGAGCUCACAGAUGUGUCUCUCCUCAGUGAGGACAGCUCUUUGAAUGUUUGAUCUCAAAUCAGGUAGGACUACCCGCUGAACUUAAGCAUAUCAAUAAGCGGAGGA
Molecule: unclassified non-coding RNA, 407 nt
Filed under: soil metagenome
Description: partial contains 5.8S ribosomal RNA, internal transcribed spacer 2, and large subunit ribosomal RNA
Rfam family: 5.8S ribosomal RNA (bases 1-122)
Source: RNAcentral